AUUGAACGCUGGCGGCAUGCUUUACACAUGCAAGUCGAACGGUAACAGGCCGCAAGGUGCUGACGAGUGGCGAACGGGUGAGUAAUGCAUCGGAACGUGCCCAGUCGUGGGGGAUAACUACUCGAAAGAGUAGCUAAUACCGCAUACGAUCUAUGGAUGAAAGCGGGGGACCGUAAGGCCUCGCGCGAUUGGAGCGGCCGAUGUCAGAUUAGGUAGUUGGUGGGGUAAAGGCUCUCCAAGCCAACGAUCUGUAGCUGGUCUGAGAGGACGACCAGCCACACUGGGACUGAGACACGGCCCAGACUCCUACGGGAGGCAGCAGUGGGGAAUUUUGGACAAAGGGCGCAAGCCUGAUCCAGCAAUGCCGCGUGCAGGAAGAAGGCCUUCGGGUUGUAAACUGCUUUUGUACGGAACGAAACGGCUCUGGUUAAUACCCGGGGCUAAUGACGGUACCGUAAGAAUAAGCACCGGCUAACUACGUG
Molecule: ribosomal RNA, 482 nt
Filed under: uncultured bacterium
Lineage: Bacteria
Description: partial 16S ribosomal RNA
Rfam family: Bacterial small subunit ribosomal RNA
Source: RNAcentral